AGUAUAAUUCAUACUGUAUCUUAUAGGAAGAAAAACAAGCGAUGAAAUUGAGACAAUGGAACAAUUUCACAUCAAGGGCAGAAAAAUGGACAAGCAUUUACUAAGAGAGGAGCUGAGAUUUCACGGAAGUCCCAGUUGCCAGAUAACGGAGCAUCACCUUAUCUGGCAGUGUUUCGCACCUGCAUUCCUUUUAACAGACUUGCAGAAAGAUCAAGCUGCUGCAGAGACUUUGCAUGUCAUUCUGCCAGUGGGCUUUAAUGACUUAUCAGAAUUGAUAUGUAAGUUACAAAUCAGGAUAUUAUUUUUAUUGAUUGGAUAUUUACAAAGGCAAACAAUACAUUUUAUUUUGAAACUUCCUAAUAUCAAAAUAAUUUUUGAGAAUUUGUCUUUUUCUGCUACAAAAAAAUAAAAU
This 412-nucleotide long non-coding RNA is filed under the name Chinchilla lanigera (long-tailed chinchilla). Its description in RNAcentral is "lncRNA (ENSCLAG00000024672.1)". Lineage: Eukaryota; Metazoa; Chordata; Mammalia; Rodentia; Chinchillidae. The record is from RNAcentral.